AGGACGAACGCUGGCGGCGUACUUAACACAUGCAAGUCGAGCGGAAAGGCCCUUCGGGGUACUCGAGCGGCGAACGGGUGAGUAACACGUGAGCAAUCUGCCCUUAGCUUCGGGAUAGCCCCGGGAAACCGGGAUUAAUACCGAAUAUGACCUCGGCCGACAUCGGCUUUGGUGGAAAGUUUUUCGGCUAGGGAUGAACUCGCGGCCUAUCAGCUUGUUGGUGGGGUAAUGGCCUACCAAGGCGACGACGGGUAGCCGGCCUGAGAGGGCGACCGGCCACACUGGGACUGAGACACGGCCCAGACUCCUACGGGAGGCAGCAGUGGGGAAUAUUGCGCAAUGGGCGAAAGCCUGACGCAGCGACGCCGCGUGGGGGAUGAAGGCCUUCGGGUUGUAAACCCCUUUCAGCAGGGACGAAGCGAGAGUGACGGUACCUGCAGAAGAAGCGCCGGCUAACUACGUGCCAGCAGCCGC
Molecule: ribosomal RNA, 474 nt
Filed under: uncultured bacterium
Lineage: Bacteria
Description: SSU rRNA
Rfam family: Bacterial small subunit ribosomal RNA
Source: RNAcentral